This 1347-nucleotide ribosomal RNA is filed under the name Mycobacterium sp. DWMJ-868A1. RNAcentral describes it as "bacterial SSU rRNA". It matches the Rfam family "Bacterial small subunit ribosomal RNA", at positions 80 to 1427 of the family's 1533-position model. The record is from RNAcentral. Lineage: Bacteria; Bacillati; Actinomycetota; Actinomycetes; Mycobacteriales; Mycobacteriaceae.
UCGGAGGUACUCGAGUGGCGAACGGGUGAGUAACACGUGGGCAAUCUGCCCUGCACUUCGGGAUAAGCCUGGGAAACUGGGUCUAAUACCGGAUAGGACCUCAAGACGCAUGUCUUCUGGUGGAAAGCUUUUGCGGUGUGGGAUGGGCCCGCGGCCUAUCAGCUUGUUGGUGGGGUGACGGCCUACCAAGGCGACGACGGGUAGCCGGCCUGAGAGGGUGUCCGGCCACACUGGGACUGAGAUACGGCCCAGACUCCUACGGGAGGCAGCAGUGGGGAAUAUUGCACAAUGGGCGCAAGCCUGAUGCAGCGACGCCGCGUGGGGGAUGACGGCCUUCGGGUUGUAAACCUCUUUCACCAUCGACGAAGGUCCGGGUUUUCUCGGAUUGACGGUAGGUGGAGAAGAAGCACCGGCCAACUACGUGCCAGCAGCCGCGGUAAUACGUAGGGUGCGAGCGUUGUCCGGAAUUACUGGGCGUAAAGAGCUCGUAGGUGGUUUGUCGCGUUGUUCGUGAAAUCUCACGGCUUAACUGUGAGCGUGCGGGCGAUACGGGCAGACUAGAGUACUGCAGGGGAGACUGGAAUUCCUGGUGUAGCGGUGGAAUGCGCAGAUAUCAGGAGGAACACCGGUGGCGAAGGCGGGUCUCUGGGCAGUAACUGACGCUGAGGAGCGAAAGCGUGGGGAGCGAACAGGAUUAGAUACCCUGGUAGUCCACGCCGUAAACGGUGGGUACUAGGUGUGGGUUUCCUUCCUUGGGAUCCGUGCCGUAGCUAACGCAUUAAGUACCCCGCCUGGGGAGUACGGCCGCAAGGCUAAAACUCAAAGGAAUUGACGGGGGCCCGCACAAGCGGCGGAGCAUGUGGAUUAAUUCGAUGCAACGCGAAGAACCUUACCUGGGUUUGACAUGCACAGGACGCGUCUAGAGAUAGGCGUUCCCUUGUGGCCUGUGUGCAGGUGGUGCAUGGCUGUCGUCAGCUCGUGUCGUGAGAUGUUGGGUUAAGUCCCGCAACGAGCGCAACCCUUGUCUCAUGUUGCCAGCGGGUAAUGCCGGGGACUCGUGAGAGACUGCCGGGGUCAACUCGGAGGAAGGUGGGGAUGACGUCAAGUCAUCAUGCCCCUUAUGUUCCAGGGCUUCACACAUGCUACAAUGGCCGGUACAAAGGGCUGCGAUGCCGUAAGGUUAAGCGAAUCCUUUUAAAGCCGGUCUCAGUUCGGAUUGGGGUCUGCAACUCGACCCCAUGAAGUCGGAGUCGCUAGUAAUCGCAGAUCAGCAACGCUGCGGUGAAUACGUUCCCGGGCCUUGUACACACCGCCCGUCACGUCAUGAAAGUCGGUAACACCCGAAGC